AGUGAACGCUGGCGGCAUGCUUUACACAUGCAAGUCAACGGCAGCACGGGCUUCGGCCUGGUGGCGAGUGGCGAACGGGUGAGUAAUGCAUCGGAACGUGCCCAUUUGUGGGGGAUAACGCGGCGAAAGUCGCGCUAAUACCGCAUACGCCCUGAGGGGGAAAGCGGGGGAUUCUUCGGAACCUCGCGCAAUUGGAGCGGCCGAUGUCCGAUUAGCUAGUUGGUGGGGUAAAGGCCCACCAAGGCGACGAUCGGUAGCUGGUCUGAGAGGAUGAUCAGCCACACUGGGACUGAGACACGGCCCAGACUCCUACGGGAGGCAGCAGUGGGGAAUUUUGGGCAAUGGGGGAGACCCUGACCCAGCGACGCCGCGUGAGGGACGAAGGCCCUUGGGUCGUAAACCUCUUUUGCAGGGGAAGAAGUAGAUGACGGUACCUUGCGAAUAAGUCCCGGCUAACUACGUG
RNAcentral lists this ribosomal RNA (463 nucleotides) under uncultured bacterium. RNAcentral's name for it is "bacterial SSU rRNA". It matches the Rfam family "Bacterial small subunit ribosomal RNA", at positions 30 to 507 of the family's 1533-position model. The record is from RNAcentral.